This 73-nucleotide transfer RNA is filed under the name Pseudomonadales bacterium. RNAcentral describes it as "tRNA-Lys". It matches the Rfam family "tRNA". From Rfam's summary of the family: Transfer RNA (tRNA) molecules are approximately 80 nucleotides in length. Lineage: Bacteria; Pseudomonadati; Pseudomonadota; Gammaproteobacteria; Pseudomonadales. The record is from RNAcentral.
UAGUCUUUCGGUGGGUUACAGCAUCUGACUUUUAAUCAGGUGGUCGCAGGUUCGAUCCCUGCACGGCUCACGA